CUAGACCAAUCAUGAUCGCGUAUAUCAGCAGGUCAUGAAGGGGGCGGGACUUCCUGUUGUGCACUCGGUUUUCUUCACGGCCUCUCGGAUUGAAGGGCACUGGUUCAGUGGAAGAAGAGGUUCAUUCUGCACAGUGAAGAAGCAUCAUGGCGGUCACGACUCCGGCACUCAGCACCAGUUCACCGGCAUUUGCCAAGUACUUCAACUCCUACACCAUCACAGGAAGGAGGAAUUGUGUCUUGGCCACAUACGCCAGCAUCGCCGCCAUUAUCCUGUUCUUCAAACUGAAGCCCAAGAAGAAGGCUGUAACGGCGAGCUAAUGUAUUAUAAGGUUUUGUGAUUUUUUGCUGUACAGGAUGAAGAUUCGGUAACCAGUUGUCUUGAGUCACAAUGUUAAAAAUAAAGUGUACCAAACUCCAAUACAUAGAAAAGAUGUUUUAUUUACACAAUUAUAAAAGACUGUACAGUUCAGGAGGCUGGGGCCACAAACCUGUAUGGCAGCUAUGUGAAAAAUAAUUAACUAAGUAUCAGUAUCUUGUUACUGAUACAAAUACACACAUGGUUAAGUCCAGAAGGUUCAGUUGCUUCACUGUAAUACCAUUUUAAGAAACUAGUGUAGUCGAGCCACACGAGACCUACGAGCUCUUCGUCUGGCAGUGUUGCAUGAUUUGGCGGUGAAAGCUGUGUUGCUGUACUGUGAUCACUGGGAGGUGUAUGCACCAGCAGCCAGUAGCAGGUUGCGUCUGGUGAAGUGGACGUGGAUGACGGCGGUGGAUUUGGUCACGUAUGUCCCAACAAUACUUCCUGAGAGUUGUCGGGUAAGUGAAUGUGACCCGUGGCUGCUGUGAAAUCGUCCGUUUCCACAUCAUCGACAGCUUUG
Long non-coding RNA from Ictalurus punctatus (channel catfish), 880 nucleotides. Lineage: Eukaryota; Metazoa; Chordata; Actinopteri; Siluriformes; Ictaluridae. The record is from Ensembl.